GAGUUGGCUUCUAGAAAGGGAUUCCUGUUUAUCAGAUUUGAUCCAUCAUCCAAUCUGAAUUGAUAAAACCAAAUGCAUUUGAAUCAACAUAUUGGAAUGUUGAAUCAGCUUCAGAUCAAUAAAUUAUGACUCAAAAGUUUUGGAUUGACCACACUCCAAUCUCAUAAUGAAUCGAUAUAUGUGUGUCUUUGAUGCUUGAAAUGAUCAACUCAAAAUAAUGGCAUUGUUUUUGCAUCCGAUCAUAGCAUAUAUUCGUAUGGCUCUAUGAGGUUAUAAAGACUCAAAAUAAUGGCAUUGUUCUUGCAUCCGAUCAUAGAAUAUAUUCGUAUGGCUCUAUGAGGUUAUAGAGACUCAAAAUAAUGGCAAUGUUCUUGCAUCCGAUCAUAGAAUAUAUUCGUAUGGCUAUAUGAGGUUAUAGAGACUCAAAAUAAUGGCAUUGUUCUUGCAUCCGAUCAUAGCAUAUAUUCGUAUGGCUCUAUGAGGUUAUAGAGACACAUAUGCAUAUAGAGAAAGAAUGGUUGUAAGGCGGUCGUAUUAACAAAUUUACUUAAUAAAACAUGUUUUUUAAUCAUAAACUUGUUGUUUCACGAAAUAAUUGAACUAACAAAUUGUGGUAACCAAUGCAGGAAAAAUAAACACGACAAAAGUAAAUUUGAAGCCCAGCUUGAAAAUCAAUUUAUUUAAAGCCAAUUCAUGUUAGUAUCAGAAAAUUAGCAUUAAUAUCUUCACCACCAAACAAUGAGUAAAGUUCAUUUUGAAAAGGAAGAUCCAAGUUAAUAAAAAUAUAGUCUUAUAGAACAAACGUACCUGAAAUUAUAAAUUCUCAAGUUUGUCGGCCACCACAUCUUUCAGCUGACAACAGUCAAGAUCUACAAAAAAGAUAAACCACAUAUUAGACUACUAAAACAAAAUCUAAUGAUAUAACAAAACAAACUAGUGGGAUGGAUACUGUACAAAACCAAACAAAAUCUAAUGACAAUCCCAUCUUCACCUUCCAUGUGUCUUCAUCUGAAUACUGUGCAAAAUUGGGUAAAACUUGCCCCCUCACCAGUUCCUUCAAUGGAAAACCGGUUCCAAAGCUUAUUUUCCCUUAGUAGACUUGGAUCAAAGCUGGCUUGCGACUCCUUAUCAAAGCUUAUUUUCCCUUAAUUGCAUGGACCAAUCAAACAGACCCUUAAUCAAAUAUAACAACAAAGGUAGAAAACCAUGAAUCAAACAGUUGAUAGACAUAUGUAGAAAACAAAACUAGAGACUUAUAUAAUAAUAAAUAAUAGACAAACAAAAGACUUAUCUUCAGGAACUAAUUUGAUGGAGGAAACCAAAUGACCAAUUGCAUGAACAUGAGGGUUUACAUUCGGGUUUAUAAAAGGAUUUCAGAAAAACACGAUUGCCACUCAAAACUCAAAAGGAAAAGGGUUUAGAAAAUGCAGAGAAAUGGUGGUGUAAUGGUUUUGACUUGUAAGUGAGAGUAAACUU
This 1476-nucleotide long non-coding RNA is filed under the name Aquilegia coerulea. Its description in RNAcentral is "long non-coding RNA (ACOE_LNC000224)". The record is from RNAcentral. Lineage: Eukaryota; Viridiplantae; Streptophyta; Magnoliopsida; Ranunculales; Ranunculaceae.